AGCUAAGCUCUUUUCAUAAUUUUCACAGCGCUGUACAUAGACCAUCCUCACUGGACAGAUAGAAGCGCCACGAAAAAUGAAUCAGCUUCUUCUCAUAAUUCGUCGGGUAGUUUUCUCCGCCAGCUUUCAUAGCAACCAACGCAGCAACUGUUCCGUGCUACCACUGUAAAAACCACGCCGGUAUGGCCUUGUGGACAAACGACCGGCUGGAAGGUUUCCGAUCUGGAGAACAGUGCAAAACACUGCCCGGACGGAUUCUGCUACACCUAUGAAGACGUAAGUUCCGUUCUCACAUUGCCUAACGGCCUACUCCAGUACAAAUAUACCAUCACCGACCAAGAGCCGACCAAGAGCUGUCAAUUCCGAGUGAAACGGGGUUGUGGUCAGUUUCCCUGCAACGAUUAUUAAGGAAAUUUAAAUGCUUCGGCACUAUGUGACGUCGGCAGCGACGGCUUCUGGGCAGACAAGGAAAUCCCUCUCCCGUUGGAACCGCCAUUCAAGUGGCUGUACUCCUCAUUGUCGGGGUGGUAGUCCUGAAUCGGACCGGUCGCCUGCAAUACUGCGAUUCCGACCGCAGUAACAAGGCCGCCACGCAUUUUGCGGUGGAUGCUGAACAUAAGACGGACGGCGGACAUCUUAUUGCUCCAUUUUUAUCAGGACAAUGUUUUAGCUGCAAAAUAAAUAAUAAUCUUUUCGGCGGAUUGCAGUAUCCCCUGAAGCAGGUGCACCCUUAUGCUGCGCCAACUGCAGCGGUCCGGUAAAUGGAUUUCCUGAAACCAUUUCCCGUUUUUAACUGAAACGUUCACCAGAUGUCUUGCGUCGAAAUGUCGCAAAGGUUAAAUGUCUCAAAGCAGUAUGUCCCAAAUCAAAUGUCCCAGCGACUAGAUGUCCCGCGGCGAGAAGUCG
Paramacrobiotus metropolitanus is the source of this 906-nucleotide long non-coding RNA. RefSeq lists it as uncharacterized. The transcript is spliced from 3 exons. NCBI's taxonomy places the organism in Eukaryota, Metazoa, Tardigrada, Eutardigrada, Parachela, Macrobiotidae. The record is from RefSeq and is a predicted model, not a curated record.